CCUACGUGAGGCAGCAGUGAGGAAUAUUGGUCAAUGGGCGGAAGCCUGAACCAGCCAAGUAGCGUGCAGGAUGACGGCCCUACGGGUUGUAAACUGCUUUUAUCCGGGAAUAACGCGCCUUACGUGUAGGGCUUUGCAUGUACCGUAUGAAUAAGGACCGGCUAAUUCCGUGCCAGCAGCCGCGGUAAUACGGAAGGUCCGGGCGUUAUCCGGAUUUAUUGGGGUUAAAGGGAGCGAAGGCCGCAUGUCAAGCGUGCUGUGAAAUGGCCGGGCUCAACCCGGGCCUUGCAGCGCGAACUGGCGUGCUUGAGUCGGCGGAAAGCAGGCGGAAUUCGUGGUGUAGCGGUGAAAUGCUUAGAUAUGACGAAGAACCCCGAUUGCGAAGGCAGCUUGCUGCAGCGGAACUGACGCUGAUGCUCGAAAGCGCGGGUAUCGAACAGGAUUAGAUACCCUAGUAGUC
This 460-nucleotide ribosomal RNA is filed under the name uncultured bacterium. RNAcentral's name for it is "partial 16S ribosomal RNA". It matches the Rfam family "Bacterial small subunit ribosomal RNA", at positions 338 to 795 of the family's 1533-position model. The record is from RNAcentral.